Molecule: non-coding RNA, 86 nt
Organism: Podarcis lilfordi (Lilford's wall lizard)
Lineage: Eukaryota; Metazoa; Chordata; Lepidosauria; Squamata; Lacertidae
Source: the annotation of a GenBank genome assembly
AUAUGUGUGUGUGUGUGUGUGUGUGUACAUAUAUAUAUGUACACACAUAUAUAUGUACACACAUAUAUAUGUACACACACACAUAU